CCUGGGCUAUUUUUUUUUACAUGGUGGUUUUUCCUAGUUCAUUGACAGUGAUGACCGGUUCCCUACAGAGCUGGCCACCUUGCUGAGUGCACUGGAUGGCACACAGUGACAACAAAUGACACAGAAGCCUCUCUUCUCGAGGACUCGAGGAGUUAAAUAUCUGAUGGAGAAGAGAAGACAGGACCCAGGCACAAGCAGCGCAAUCUGUAUGAACAAAUACAAGAAUCACAUACUCCACAGUCCCAUGAGCCACGGGGAUAGAUAGCAAAGGGUUCCCCAGCAGCCCUGGCAGGCAGGUAGACAGCCACAGCUAUGCGGGCCCUUAGGUCAGCCCUCUCAGAUGAUCUGAAACCACUUCAGUCUGUCUGAAGCUCUCAUGAACAUUUCCUGUUAAGUAUUGUUUUCAAUAAUUUAUUCUGGAGGAGAUGUUGGCUCCCCUGGGAAUCACUUUGCAGCACAUCCCCUCCAGAGACCAGCUACAGACAUCAGGCGCCAGGAUAGAAGAGUCGCUCUGUGUAGACGGUGGACCAGGAAUAAGGUUGCCUCAAAAAAAUAAUAGCUGACAUCCGCCCCACCCUCCACUCUUCAAUCAAGCCAGUCAGGCAAUGAACCUUUUCACACCUGAGGGAUUAUUUUUGCUUUUGUCUGAUUCUGCUGUGUUAAAGGAAACAAGUGUUGAGAAAGGACUCAAUUAACUGAGCUUCAGGAUAAUCCAAGGUGAAGAAAAACAAGAGCUGACAAAGAAAAGAAAUGGUGCUGCUGGGUUAGGGUCUCCCCAACUGAGCUGGUCUCAGCAAGUGGCGUCCAUUCGUGGGAGCUUGAAUCCAGGUCGAAGGGUCACCGGAGCAAUGGUUGGAAUGGAAAACUAGCUGGAGGACACCCGAGUACUCUAAAAGCAAUCCCCAUGGCCAAAAUCAACAGCCAAUUUGGAUACCAUCAAGACACCUGAAACCUUAUCAUGAGCCAGAUGCCAAGGAAGAGAUUCGGGAGGAUCCUGAGGACCCCCCGGUUGCAGCCAUGUUGAGACUGAUGCUGAGGAGGACCCCAACUGUCACGAGCAACACCCGUCGACCACAGCCACCCACCUGGGGACAGAUCAAGAAGCUGUCACAGAUGGCGGAGGAAAGCGGAACAACCAGUCACAAUGAAUAAUUUAAUGGUAGCUAUGAUAGUGGUUAUCACCACUGCCGUGAGUAUUCCUACAAUAAGGGCUGGUAAUAACGCCUGGAUGCAAUCACUCUAUGACACAGUUACAUAUGCUUUCUGAUCUCAGUAUUUACCAUAAUAAAUCUGCUCCUAUAAUUGAGGCAUACCACCCUUAAAAACCUAUUUGUAAACAGGAUUGGACCCAGUUAGAAAAAAUGAACACAAUUGUUUAGGAAGAUUGCCUUGCAGAACAGGCAGAGAUGCUGCACAACGAUUCCUAUGGAAUCAUUAUUAAUUGGUCCCCUAAGGGGAUGUUUAGCUUGAAUUGCACCUCUCAGUCUGCGUGCCACAGUCACACUAUGUUUAGAUGAUCUGAACAAAACAGUCAGAUGGUAGAAAUGUUAAGAAGUACGGCAAA
RNAcentral lists this long non-coding RNA (1564 nucleotides) under Homo sapiens (human). Its description in RNAcentral is "HSALNT0296776". The record is from RNAcentral. Lineage: Eukaryota; Metazoa; Chordata; Mammalia; Primates; Hominidae.